ACAAACUUGGUCAUUUAGAGGAAGUAAAAGUCGUAACAAGGUUUCCGUAGGUGAACCUGCGGAAGGAUCAUUAAUGCAUAUAUUGCACUCAUCACACAUAUAUGGUGGUGAUGGUGGUGCAUUAUAUCCUGUGUUGUGUAUGCUGCUUGCAAUGUGUGUCUUUCUUAGAGGCACACAUAUGCUGUUGUUUCAUUCAUUCUGUUCUGUUCUUAUUGUGUUUUAUUGAGGUGCUUCAUGGCAUCUUGUUAACAAUCGAAAACUGCCACCAAUGGAUCACUUGGUUCUCGCAUCGAUGAAGAACGCAGC
Molecule: unclassified non-coding RNA, 306 nt
Filed under: uncultured fungus
Lineage: Eukaryota; Fungi
Description: partial contains small subunit ribosomal RNA, internal transcribed spacer 1, and 5.8S ribosomal RNA
Rfam family: Eukaryotic small subunit ribosomal RNA (bases 1-73)
Source: RNAcentral